AGUGAACGCUGGCGGUAGGCCUAACACAUGCAAGUCGAACGGCAGCACAGUAAGAGCUUGCUCUUACGGGUGGCGAGUGGCGGACGGGUGAGGAAUACGUCGGAAUCUACUUUUUCGUGGGGGAUAACGUAGGGACACUUACGCUAAUACCGCAUACGACCUACGGGUGAAAGCAGGGGAUCUUCGGACCUUGCGCGAUUGAAUGAGCCGAUGUCGGAUUAGCUAGUUGGCGGGGUAAAGGCCCACCAAGGCGACGAUCCGUAGCUGGUCUGAGAGGAUGAUCAGCCACACUGGAACUGAGACACGGUCCAGACUCCUACGGGAGGCAGCAGUGGGGAAUAUUGGACAAAGGGCGCAAGCCUGAUCCAGCCAUACCGCGUGGGUGAAGAAGGCCUUCGGGUUGUAAAGCCCUUUUGUUGGGAAAGAAAAGCAGCAGGUUAAUACCCCGCUGUUCUGACGGUACCCAAAGAAUAAGCACCGGCUAACUUCGUG
RNAcentral lists this ribosomal RNA (492 nucleotides) under uncultured bacterium. Its description in RNAcentral is "partial 16S ribosomal RNA". It matches the Rfam family "Bacterial small subunit ribosomal RNA", at positions 29 to 507 of the family's 1533-position model. The record is from RNAcentral.